This 72-nucleotide transfer RNA is filed under the name Bos taurus (domestic cattle). It matches the Rfam family "tRNA". Rfam says of the family: Transfer RNA (tRNA) molecules are approximately 80 nucleotides in length. Their secondary structure includes four short double-helical elements and three loops (D, anti-codon, and T loops). Further hydrogen bonds mediate the characteristic L-shaped molecular structure. tRNAs have two regions of fundamental functional importance: the anti-codon, which is responsible for specific mRNA codon recognition, and the 3' end, to which the tRNAs corresponding amino acid is attached (by aminoacyl-tRNA synthetases). tRNAs cope with the degeneracy of the genetic code in two manners: having more than one tRNA (with a specific anti-codon) for a particular amino acid; and 'wobble' base-pairing, i.e. permitting non-standard base-pairing at the 3rd anti-codon position. Lineage: Eukaryota; Metazoa; Chordata; Mammalia; Artiodactyla; Bovidae. The record is from Rfam by way of RNAcentral. RNAcentral also lists the same sequence under 2 other names.
UCCCUGGUGGCUCAGACGGUAAAGCGUCUGCCUGCAAUGCGGGAGACCCAUGUUCGAUUCCUGGGUCGGGAA